GAUGAAGAACGCAGCGAAAUGCGAUAAGUAGUGUGAAUUGCAGAAUUCAGUGAAUCAUCGAAUCUUUGAACGCACAUUGCGCCCGCGAGUAUUCUCGCGGGCAUGCCUGUCCGAGCGUCAUUUCAACCCUCAGGGCCCGCCUGCUUGCAGGCGCGGCGCUGGUGUUGGGGAUCGGCUACCCUGCCGUCCCCCAAAUACAGUGGCGGUCUCGCUGCAGCCUCCCCUGCGUAGUAGCAACACUCGCAUGCGGAGCGCGGCGCGGCCACGCCGUAAAACCCCCGACUUUCUGAACGUUGACCUCGGAUCAGGUAGGAAUACCCGCUGAACUUAAGCAUAUCAAUAAGCGGAGGA
RNAcentral lists this unclassified non-coding RNA (351 nucleotides) under soil metagenome. RNAcentral's name for it is "partial contains 5.8S ribosomal RNA, internal transcribed spacer 2, and large subunit ribosomal RNA". The stretch from base 1 to 120 matches the Rfam family "5.8S ribosomal RNA", at positions 35 to 154 of the family's 154-position model. The record is from RNAcentral.